This 476-nucleotide ribosomal RNA is filed under the name uncultured bacterium. RNAcentral's name for it is "bacterial SSU rRNA". It matches the Rfam family "Bacterial small subunit ribosomal RNA", at positions 365 to 831 of the family's 1533-position model. The record is from RNAcentral.
UUCGCAAUGCCCGAAAGGGUGACGAAGCGACGCCGCGUGUGGGAAGAAGGCCUUCGGGUUGUAAACCACUGUUGGGAGUUAGGAAGUGUGGAGGUGUUAAUAGCGCUUUCACUUGACUAAAGCUCCAGAGGAAGCCACGGCUAACUCUGUGCCAGCAGCCGCGGUAAUACAGAGGCGGCAAGCGUUGUUCGGAAUUAUUGGGCGUAAAGAGCACGUAGGCGGCUCUGCAAGUCAGCUGUGAAAGCCUUCUGCUUAACGGAAGAACGGCAGUUGAAACUACAGGGCUUGAGUGCGGGAGGGGAGAGUGGAACUUCUGGUGGAGCGGUGAAAUGCGUAGAUAUCAGAAGGAACGCCGGCGGCGAAAGCGGCUCUCUGGCCCGUAACUGACGCUGAGUGUGCGAAAGCUAGGGGAACAAACGGGAUUAGAUACCCCGGUAGUCCUAGCCGUAAACGAUGGGCACUAAGUAGAGGGGUUU